Molecule: ribosomal RNA, 346 nt
Filed under: uncultured Verrucomicrobiota bacterium
Lineage: Bacteria; Pseudomonadati; Verrucomicrobiota
Description: bacterial SSU rRNA
Rfam family: Bacterial small subunit ribosomal RNA
Source: RNAcentral
AACGAACGCUGGCGGCGUGGAUAAGACAUGCAAGUCGAGCGCUGAUUACGGGGUAGCAAUAUUCCGUAGUUGGAGCGGCGCAAGGGUGCGUAACACGUGGGUAAUCUGCCAUGAAGUUUGGAAUAACUCGCUGAAAGGCGAGCUAAUACCGGAUGUGAAAACUGGAAGGCAUCUUCUGGGUUUCAAAGCUGGGGACCGUAAGGCCUGGCGCUUCAUGAUGAGCCCGCGGCCUAUCAUCGGUAGUUGGCGGGGUAACGGCCCACCAAGCCUGAGACGGGUAGCUGGUCUGAGAGGACGACCAGCCACACUGGAACUGAGACACGGUCCAGACACCUACGGGUGGCAG